AAAGCCCGGGGCCUAAACCCCUGGGUGUGCAGUGGGUACGGGCAGACUUGAGUGCAGUAGGGGAGACUGGAAAUUCCUGGUGUAGCGGUGAAAUGCGCAGAUAUCAGGAGGAACACCGAUGGCGAAGGCAGGUCUCUGGGCUGUUACUGACGCUGAGGAGCGAAAAGCAUGGGGAGCGAAACAGGAUUAGAUACCCUGGUAGUCCAUGCCGUAAACGUUGGGCACUAGGUGUGGGGAACAUUCCACGUUUUCCGCGCCGUAGCUAACGCAUUAAGUGCCCCGCCUGGGGAGUACGGCCGCAAGGCUAAAACUCAAAGGAAUUGACGGGGGCCCGCACAAGCGGCGGAGCAUGCGGAUUAAUUCGAUGCAACGCGAAGAACCUUACCAAGGCUUGACAUACACCGGACCGGGCCAGAGAUGGUCUUUCCCCCUUGUGGGGCUGGUGUACAGGUGGUGCAUGGUUGUCGUCAGCUCGUGUCGUGAGAUGUUGGGUUAAGUCCCGCAACGAGCGCAACCCUCGUUCUAUGUUGCCACGCACGUGAUGGUGGGGACUCAUAGGAGACUGCCGGGGUCAACUCGGAGGAAGGUGGGGAUGACGUCAAAUCAUCAUGCCCCUUAUGUCUUGGGCUUCACGCAUGCUACAAUGGCCAGUACAAUGGGUUGCGAUGCCGCGAGGUGGAGCUAAUCCCAAAAAGCUGGUCUCAGUUCGGAUCGUGGUCU
This 720-nucleotide ribosomal RNA is filed under the name Kocuria rhizophila. RNAcentral describes it as "bacterial SSU rRNA". It matches the Rfam family "Bacterial small subunit ribosomal RNA", at positions 597 to 1306 of the family's 1533-position model. Lineage: Bacteria; Bacillati; Actinomycetota; Actinomycetes; Micrococcales; Micrococcaceae. The record is from RNAcentral.